GAUGAACGCUGGCGGCGUGCCUAAUACAUGCAAGUCGAGCGAACAGACGAGGAGCUUGCUCCUCUGACGUUAGCGGCGGACGGGUGAGUAACACGUGGAUAACCUACCUAUAAGACUGGGAUAACUUCGGGAAACCGGAGCUAAUACCGGAUAAUAUAUUGAACCGCAUGGUUCAAUAGUGAAAGACGGUUUUGCUGUCACUUAUAGAUGGAUCCGCGCCGCAUUAGCUAGUUGGUAAGGUAACGGCUUACCAAGGCAACGAUGCGUAGCCGACCUGAGAGGGUGAUCGGCCACACUGGAACUGAGACACGGUCCAGACUCCUACGGGAGGCAGCAGUAGGGAAUCUUCCGCAAUGGGCGAAAGCCUGACGGAGCAACGCCGCGUGAGUGAUGAAGGUCUUCGGAUGGUAAAACUCUGUUAUUAGGGAAGAACAAAUGUGUAAGUAACUAUGCACGUCUUGACGGUACCUAAUCAGAAAGCCACGGCUAACUACGUG
RNAcentral lists this ribosomal RNA (497 nucleotides) under uncultured bacterium. RNAcentral describes it as "partial 16S ribosomal RNA". It matches the Rfam family "Bacterial small subunit ribosomal RNA", at positions 28 to 507 of the family's 1533-position model. The record is from RNAcentral.